AUACUCAACAAAACGAUUAAGAAGAACAUCAUAAAAAUGGCUAUAACCGUAAAAACUUUAGUCUCAUUUGUUUUAACUAUCUUUUUAUUCAUAUCUUUUAUUGACUGUCGUACAUUAACCGCUGAAACUCUUUCAACUACUUUAAAUUCUCCAGGAUUUGGAAUAGAAGAUGUGUGCUUUGGAGGAUUUUGGCCGUGUAAGGAUGACAUUCUCUUUGGUUGCGUUAGAUAUUGCAAUAAAUAUAAUUACAAAUUUGGACGAUGUACUGACAUCCAAGGAUGUUGUUGUUAUUGAAAAAAAGCGUAUAAGAUGAAAUAAUAUAAUAAAAUGUGUUGUUUGAAAUAUAACAUCAAUGGUUUUUAUA
Long non-coding RNA from Brassica oleracea var. oleracea, 364 nucleotides. RefSeq lists it as uncharacterized. Lineage: Eukaryota; Viridiplantae; Streptophyta; Magnoliopsida; Brassicales; Brassicaceae. The record is from RefSeq and is a predicted model, not a curated record. The transcript has 2 exons.